This 754-nucleotide ribosomal RNA is filed under the name uncultured Acinetobacter sp. Its description in RNAcentral is "bacterial SSU rRNA". It matches the Rfam family "Bacterial small subunit ribosomal RNA", at positions 28 to 776 of the family's 1533-position model. The record is from RNAcentral. Lineage: Bacteria; Pseudomonadati; Pseudomonadota; Gammaproteobacteria; Moraxellales; Moraxellaceae.
AUUGAACGCUGGCGGCAGGCUUAACACAUGCAAGUCGAGCGGGGAAGGGUAGCUUGCUACCUGACCUAGCGGCGGACGGGUGAGUAAUGCUUAGGAAUCUGCCUAUUAGUGGGGGACAACAUUCCGAAAGGAAUGCUAAUACCGCAUACGCCCUACGGGGGAAAGCAGGGGAUCUUCGGACCUUGCGCUAAUAGAUGAGCCUAAGUCAGAUUAGCUAGUUGGUGGGGUAAAGGCCUACCAAGGCGACGAUCUGUAGCGGGUCUGAGAGGAUGAUCCGCCACACUGGGACUGAGACACGGCCCAGACUCCUACGGGAGGCAGCAGUGGGGAAUAUUGGACAAUGGGCGCAAGCCUGAUCCAGCCAUGCCGCGUGUGUGAAGAAGGCCUUUUGGUUGCAAAGCACUUUAAGCGAGGAGGAGGCUACUUGGAUUAAUACUCUAGGAUAGUGGACGUUACUCGCAGAAUAAGCACCGGCUAACUCUGUGCCAGCAGCCGCGGUAAUACAGAGGGUGCGAGCGUUAAUCGGAUUUACUGGGCGUAAAGCGUGCGUAGGCGGCUUUUUAAGUCGGAUGUGAAAUCCCUGAGCUUAACUUAGGAAUUGCAUUCGAUACUGGGAAGCUAGAGUAUGGGGGAGGAUGGUAGAAUUCCAGGUGUAGCGGUGAAAUGCGUAGAGAUCUGGAGGAAUACCGAUGGCGAAGGCAGCCAUCUGGCCUAAUACUGACGCUGAGGUACGAAAGCAUGGGGAGCAGACAGG